RNAcentral lists this ribosomal RNA (253 nucleotides) under uncultured bacterium. RNAcentral's name for it is "partial 16S ribosomal RNA". It matches the Rfam family "Bacterial small subunit ribosomal RNA", at positions 524 to 776 of the family's 1533-position model. The record is from RNAcentral.
GACAGAGGAUGCAAGCGUUAUCCGGAAUGAUUGGGCGUAAAGCGUCUGUAGGUGGCUUUUUAAGUCCGCCGUCAAAUCCCAGGGCUCAACCCUGGACAGGCGGUGGAAACUACCAAGCUGGAGUACGGUAGGGGCAGAGGGAAUUUCCGGUGGAGCGGUGAAAUGCGUAGAUAUUGGGAGGAACACCGGUGGCGAAGGCGGCCCUCUGGACCGGUACUGACGCUGAUGCGCGAAAGCGUGGGGAGCAAACGGG